Long non-coding RNA from Schistocerca gregaria, 436 nucleotides. RefSeq lists it as uncharacterized. The record is from RefSeq and is a predicted model, not a curated record. NCBI's taxonomy places the organism in Eukaryota, Metazoa, Arthropoda, Insecta, Orthoptera, Acrididae. The transcript has 3 exons.
UCACAAAUUCAAACUUAAAUCUCGAAUAUCUUUUUUUUCAAAUAUGUUCAGCACAAAUUAAAUAUCUUAACAGAAGAUCAAAAUCGAACCCUGUGCUAAUCACAUUUAUAGCGAUGAUGCCUUUCAGGUUACCCUUCAAAAUAUUCCCUAUCAACUUCGUAGCUAAUAGCUCACAUGUGAAACUCUAUUCAACCAAUCAAAUUUCGGAAAGUCCGCUUUUACUUUUUUCAAGUCCUAAUACCUCUGUCAACCUUUUUCGAUUGAUCAGCGUGAGUAUCUAUGGACAAUGCUUGGCAACCGGUGUAUACAUACAACAAAUGCUGCAUCCAGAUAAUCAAAGCAAGCAUUCAUGGGCAUUGCGUCUGUCUAUUGCAUCCGGAUUACUAGGCAUGUCAAUAUCUAUGCCAUUCCUCUAUUCAUAUGUUCUCAAGCGCAC